UACGUAGGGCGCAAGCGUUGUCCGGAAUUAUUGGGCGUAAAGAGCUCGUAGGCGGUUCGUCGCGUCGGCUGUGAAAACCCGGAGCUCAACUCCGGGCCUGCAGUCGAUACAGGCGGACUUGAGUGUUGCAGGGGAGACUGGAAUUCCUGGUGUAGCGGUGAAAUGCGCAGAUAUCAGGAGGAACACCGGUGGCGAAGGCGGGUCUCUGGGCAACUACUGACGCUGAGGAGCGAAAGCGUGGGGAGCGAACAGG
This 253-nucleotide ribosomal RNA is filed under the name uncultured bacterium. RNAcentral's name for it is "partial 16S ribosomal RNA". It matches the Rfam family "Bacterial small subunit ribosomal RNA", at positions 524 to 776 of the family's 1533-position model. The record is from RNAcentral.